This 275-nucleotide ribosomal RNA is filed under the name Rhipicephalus turanicus. RNAcentral describes it as "partial 12S ribosomal RNA". Lineage: Eukaryota; Metazoa; Arthropoda; Arachnida; Ixodida; Ixodidae. The record is from RNAcentral.
AUUAUGAAAGCAAAAAAUUAUGGCGGUAUUUUAAGCUUUUCAGAGGAAUUUGCUCUUUAAUGGAUAAAACACCUAAAUCUUACUUAAAUUUGUUAAUUCAAUUUGUAUACCACUAUAAAAACAAUUUAUAACUUUAAUUGUUGGUAUUUAUUAAAUUAAAAUAUAUUAAGUCAAGGUGCAGUAAAAAUUUAAGGAUGAAGUGAAUUACAUUACUUUUUAGAGAAAUAAAUUUAAAAUAAUAUUUAGGAUUUGAAAGUAAAAUUAAAAUAUAAUGU